GGCUGGUCUGAUUGUAGUGGGUUAUUAGAACUCAUUAACAUUAGUGUCACUAAAGUUAACAUAUACCCUCCUACUGCUAAAUUGGCUUAAA
RNAcentral lists this non-coding RNA (91 nucleotides) under Microcebus murinus (gray mouse lemur). The record is from RNAcentral. Lineage: Eukaryota; Metazoa; Chordata; Mammalia; Primates; Cheirogaleidae.